Molecule: ribosomal RNA, 1070 nt
Filed under: uncultured bacterium
Lineage: Bacteria
Description: bacterial SSU rRNA
Rfam family: Bacterial small subunit ribosomal RNA
Source: RNAcentral
UUCGCCCUUAGAGUUUGAUUAUGGCUCAGGACGAACGCUGGCGGCGUGCCUAAUACAUGCAAGUCGAGCGGAGAUUUGAAAAGCUUGCUUUUCAAAUCUUAGCGGCGGACGGGUGAGUAACACGUGGGCAACCUGCCCUUGAGACGGGGAUAACUCCGGGAAACCGGAGCUAAUACCGGAUAACACAUAUCUUCGCAUGAUGAUAUGUUAGAAGGUGGCUUUUAGCUACCACUCAAGGAUGGGCCCGCGGCGCAUUAGCUAGUUGGUGAGGUAACGGCUCACCAAGGCGACGAUGCGUAGCCGACCUGAGAGGGUGAUCGGCCACACUGGGACUGAGACACGGCCCAGACUCCUACGGGAGGCAGCAGUAGGGAAUCUUCCGCAAUGGACGAAAGUCUGACGGAGCAACGCCGCGUGAGUGAUGAAGGUUUUCGGAUCGUAAAGCUCUGUUGCUAGGGAAGAACAAGUACCUGUUAAAUAAGCAGGUACCUUGACGGUACCUAACCAGAAAGCCACGGCUAACUACGUGCCAGCAGCCGCGGUAAUACGUAGGUGGCAAGCGUUGUCCGGAAUUAUUGGGCGUAAAGCGCGCGCAGGCGGUUCCUUAAGUCUGAUGUGAAAGCCCACGGCUCAACCGUGGAGGGUCAUUGGAAACUGGGGAACUUGAGUGCAGAAGAGGAGAGCGGAAUUCCACGUGUAGCGGUGAAAUGCGUAGAGAUGUGGAGGAACACCAGUGGCGAAGGCGGCUCUCUGGUUUGUAACUGACGCUGAGGCGCGAAAGCGUGGGGAGCGAACAGGAUUAGAUACCCUGGUAGUCCACGCCGUANACGAUGAGUGCUAAGUGUUAGAGGGNUUUCGCCCUUUAGUGCUGCAGCAAACGCAUUAAGCACUCCGCCUGGGGAGUACGGGUCGCAGACUGAAACUCNAAGGAAUUGACGGGGACCCNGCACAGCGGUGGAGCAUGUGGUUUAAUUCGAAGCACGCGAAGAACCUUACCNAGUCUGACAUCUCUGCUACUCUAGAGAUAGAAGUUCCCUCGGGGACGAGUGACAGUGGUGCAUGGUGUCGUC